GAUGAACGCUGGCGGCGUGCCUAAUACAUGCAAGUCGAGCGAACAGACGAGGAGCUUGCUCCUCUGACGUUAGCGGCGGACGGGUGAGUAACACGUGGAUAACCUACCUAUAAGACUGGUAUAACUUCGGGAAACCGGAGCUAAUACCGGAUAAUAUAUUGAACCGCAUGGUUCAAUAGUGAAAGACGGUUUUGCUGUCACUUAUAGAUGGAUCCGCGCCGCAUUAGCUAGUUGGUAAGGUAACGGCUUACCAAGGCAACGAUGCGUAGCCGACCUGAGAGGGUGAUCGGGCACACUGGAACUGAGACACGGUCAAGACUCCUACGGGAGGCAGCAGAAGGGAAUAUUCCGAAAUGGGCGAAAGCAUGACGGAGCAACGCCGCGUGAGUGAUGAAGGUCUUCGGAUCGUAAAACUCUGUUAUUAGGGAAGAAAAAAUGUGUAAGUAACUAUGCACGUAUUGACGGUACCUAAUCAGAAAGCAACGGCUAACUACGUG
Molecule: ribosomal RNA, 497 nt
Filed under: uncultured bacterium
Lineage: Bacteria
Description: partial 16S ribosomal RNA
Rfam family: Bacterial small subunit ribosomal RNA
Source: RNAcentral